AUAAUUAAAGGGCUGCAGUAUUUUGACUGUACAAAGGUAGCAUAAUCAUUAGUCUCUUAAUUGGUGACUUGUAUGAAGGAUUUGAUGAAAUAUAAACUGUCUCUUAUUAAUUUAUAAAAUUUAAUUUUUUAGUAAAAAAGCUAAAAUAAUUUUAAAAGACGAGAAGACCCUAUAGAGUUUUAUAAUAAAUUUAAUUAUAUUUUUUAUAUAAAUAUUUUAUUUUUAAUAAAAUUUAUUAUUUUAUUGGGGUGAUAGAAAAAUUUAAUAAACUUUUUUUAAAAAUAAAACAUAAAUAAGUGAAUGUAUGAUCCGUUAUUAACGAUUAUAAGAAUAAAUUACCUUAGGGAUAACAGCGUAAUUUUUUUUUUUAGUUCAAAUAAAAAAAAAAGUUUGCGACCUCGAGGUUGGAUUAAAAUAAACUUUAAAUGCAAAAGUUUAAAAUUUG
RNAcentral lists this ribosomal RNA (445 nucleotides) under Graphium antiphates (fivebar swordtail). RNAcentral's name for it is "partial 16S ribosomal RNA". The record is from RNAcentral. Lineage: Eukaryota; Metazoa; Arthropoda; Insecta; Lepidoptera; Papilionidae.